UGGGGAAUAUUGCACAAUGGGGGAAACCCUGAUGCAGCGACGCCGCGUGAGUGAUGAAGUAUUUCGGUAUGUAAAGCUCUAUCAGCAGGGAAGAAAAAAGACGGUACCUGACUAAGAAGCCCCGGCUAACUACGUGCCAGCAGCCGCGGUAAUACGUAGGGGGCAAGCGUUAUCCGGAUUUACUGGGUGUAAAGGGAGCGUAGACGGCAAUACAAGUCGGAAGUGAAAUACCCGGGCUCAACCUGGGAACUGCUUUGGAAACUGUAUGGCUGGAGUGCUGGAGAGGUAAGCGGAAUUCCUAGUGUAGCGGUGAAAUGCGUAGAUAUUAGGAGGAACACCAGUGGCGAAGGCGGCUUACUGGACAGUAACUGACGUUGAGGCUCGAAAGCGUGGGGAGCAAACAGG
Molecule: ribosomal RNA, 405 nt
Filed under: uncultured bacterium
Lineage: Bacteria
Description: bacterial SSU rRNA
Rfam family: Bacterial small subunit ribosomal RNA
Source: RNAcentral